Molecule: ribosomal RNA, 350 nt
Filed under: Verrucomicrobiota bacterium
Lineage: Bacteria; Pseudomonadati; Verrucomicrobiota
Description: bacterial SSU rRNA
Rfam family: Bacterial small subunit ribosomal RNA
Source: RNAcentral
UUAACGGAGAGUUUGAUUCUGGCUCAGAACGAACGCUGGCGGCGUGGAUAAGACAUGCAAGUCGAGCGGGACAUUUCGGGUAGCAAUAUUCGGAGUGUUCAGCGGCGCAAGGGUGCGUAACACGUGGGCAAUCUUCCCUGAAGCUUGGGAUAACUCCGAGAAAUCGGAGCUAAUACCAAAUGUGAUUGUUGGAAGGCAUCUUCUGAUUAUUAAAGUUGGGGACCGUAAGGCCUGACACUUUAGGAUUAGCCCGCGGCCUAUCAGCUAGUUGGUGAGGUAACGGCUCACCAAGGCUAAGACGGGUAGCUGGUCUGAGAGGACGACCAGCCACACUGGAACUGAGACACGGU